Molecule: ribosomal RNA, 460 nt
Filed under: uncultured bacterium
Lineage: Bacteria
Description: partial 16S ribosomal RNA
Rfam family: Bacterial small subunit ribosomal RNA
Source: RNAcentral
CCUACGGGAGGCAGCAGUGAGGAAUAUUGGUCAAUGGCCGGAAGGCUGAACCAGCCAUGCCGCGUGAAGGUCAGUGCCCUAUGGGCGUUAAACUUCUUUUGUGCGGGAGCAAUAAUGGUCACGUGUGGCCAGACGAGAGUACCGUACGAAUAAGCAUCGGCUAACUCCGUGCCAGCAGCCGCGGUAAUACGGGGGAUGCAAGCGUUAUCCGGAUUUAUUGGGUUUAAAGGGUGCGUAGGCUGUGAGGUAAGUCAGCGGUGAAAUGCCCCCGCUCAACGGGGUGAAGUGCCAUUGAUACUGCCUUGCUGGAGUGCGGAUGCCGUGGGAGGAAUGUGUGGUGUAGCGGUGAAAUGCAUAGAUAUCAGACAGAACACCGAUUGCGAAGGCAGCUCACGAAUCCGCGAUUGACGCUGAUGCACGAAAGCGUGGGUAUCAAACAGGAUUAGAUACCCUAGUAGUC